RNAcentral lists this ribosomal RNA (458 nucleotides) under Listeria monocytogenes. RNAcentral describes it as "bacterial SSU rRNA". It matches the Rfam family "Bacterial small subunit ribosomal RNA", at positions 967 to 1430 of the family's 1533-position model. The record is from RNAcentral. Lineage: Bacteria; Bacillati; Bacillota; Bacilli; Caryophanales; Listeriaceae.
AACCUUACCAGGGCUUGACAUCCAGUGCAAAGCUAUAGAGAUAUAGUGGAGGUUAACAUUGAGACAGGUGGUGCAUGGUUGUCGUCAGUUCGUGCCGUGAGGUGUUGGGUUAAGUCCCGCAACGAACGCAACCCUUGUCGUUAGUUACUAACAUUAAGUUGAGGACUCUAACGAGACUGCUAGUGUAAGCUAGAGGAAGGUGGGGAUGACGUCAAAUCAUCAUGCCCCUUAUGUCCUGGGCUACACACGUGCUACAAUGGCUGGUACAAAGAGUCGCAAUCUCGCGAGGGGGAGCUAAUCUCAAAAAGCCAGUCUCAGUUCGGAUUGAAGUCUGCAACUCGACUUCAUGAAGCCGGAAUCACUAGUAAUCGCGAAUCAGCUAUGUCGCGGUGAAUACGUUCUCGGGUCUUGUACACACCGCCCGACACACCACGAGAGUUGGUAAUACCAGAAGUGGG